GAAAUGCGAUAAGUAAUGUGAAUUGCAGAAUUCAGUGAAUCAUCGAAUCUUUGAACGCACAUUGCGCCCGCCAGUAUUCUGGCGGGCAUGCCUGUUCGAGCGUCAUUACAACCCUCAGGCCCCCGGGCCUGGCGUUGGGGAUCGGCGGAAGCCCCCUGCGGGCACAACGCCGUCCCCCAAAUACAGUGGCGGUCCCGCCGCAGCUUCCAUUGCGUAGUAGCUAACACAUCGCAACUGGAGAGCGGCGCGGCCACGCCGUAAAACACCCAACUUCUGAAUGUUGACCUCGAAUCAGGUAGGAAUACCCGCUGAACUUAAGC
This 320-nucleotide unclassified non-coding RNA is filed under the name plant metagenome. Its description in RNAcentral is "partial contains 5.8S ribosomal RNA, internal transcribed spacer 2, and large subunit ribosomal RNA". The stretch from base 1 to 105 matches the Rfam family "5.8S ribosomal RNA", at positions 50 to 154 of the family's 154-position model. The record is from RNAcentral.